GCCGAAGUGGUGGAAUUGGCAGACACGCCAGACUUAGGAUCUGGUGCCUUCGGGCGUGGGAGUUCGAGUCUCCCCUUCGGUACCA
This 85-nucleotide transfer RNA is filed under the name Desulfobotulus pelophilus. RNAcentral's name for it is "tRNA-Leu". It matches the Rfam family "tRNA". From Rfam's summary of the family: Transfer RNA (tRNA) molecules are approximately 80 nucleotides in length. Their secondary structure includes four short double-helical elements and three loops (D, anti-codon, and T loops). Lineage: Bacteria; Pseudomonadati; Thermodesulfobacteriota; Desulfobacteria; Desulfobacterales; Desulfobacteraceae. The record is from RNAcentral.